ACAGGGAGCUUGCUCCUGGGUGACGAGCGGCGGACGGGUGAGUAAUGUCUGGGGAACUGCCCGAUGGAGGGGGAUAACUACUGGAAACGGUAGCUAAUACCGCAUAACGUCGCAAGACCAAAGAGGGGGACCUUCGGGCCUCUUGCCAUCGGAUGUGCCCAGAUGGGAUUAGCUAGUAGGUGGGGUAACGGCUCACCUAGGCGACGAUCCCUAGCUGGUCUGAGAGGAUGACCAGCCACACUGGAACUGAGACACGGUCCAGACUCCUACGGGAGGCAGCAGUGGGGAAUAUUGCACAAUGGGCGCAAGCCUGAUGCAGCCAUGCCGCGUGUAUGAAGAAGGCCUUCGGGUUGUAAAGUACUUUCAGCGAGGAGGAAGGCAUUGUGGUUAAUAACCACAGUGAUUGACGUUACUCGCAGAAGAAGCACCGGCUAACUCCGUGCCAGCAGCCGCGGUAAUACGGAGGGUGCAAGCGUUAAUCGGAAUUACUGGGCGUAAAGCGCACGCAGGCGGUCUGUCAAGUCGGAUGUGAAAUCCCCGGGCUCAACCUGGGAACUGCAUUCGAAACUGGCAGGCUAGAGUCUUGUAGAGGGGGGUAGAAUUCCAGGUGUAGCGGUGAAAUGCGUAGAGAUCUGGAGGAAUACCGGUGGCGAAGGCGGCCCCCUGGACAAAGACUGACGCUCAGGUGCGAAAGCGUGGGGAGCAAACAGGAUUAGAUACCCUGAGUAGUCCACGCCGUAAACGAUGUCGACUUGGAGGUUGUGCCCUUGAGGCGUGGCUUCCGGAGC
Molecule: ribosomal RNA, 788 nt
Filed under: uncultured bacterium
Lineage: Bacteria
Description: SSU rRNA
Rfam family: Bacterial small subunit ribosomal RNA
Source: RNAcentral